This 441-nucleotide ribosomal RNA is filed under the name Triticum aestivum (bread wheat). Its description in RNAcentral is "partial small subunit ribosomal RNA". The record is from RNAcentral. Lineage: Eukaryota; Viridiplantae; Streptophyta; Magnoliopsida; Poales; Poaceae.
AUGGAUGCGCCUUGGGAAAGAUGCAAGAGCCGGACUGAAUAUCACUACGCAAACUUGGAUGAUGAGAAGAAAUAUUUCUUGGUGCAUAUGAUGAGUGGUUUUCAACAUGAGAUGAUCAUCCCAGAAGAAUUUGUUCAGCGUUUCAAGGGUGAAUUCCCAAGAGAGAUAAUACUUCAAACACAAAAUUGUCGCAUUUACGUAAUUGGAGUUGCCAAGAACAAUGGAAAUCUUGUACUUACAGUAGGAUGGGAAAAAUUCGUUGAAACCUUUGGUCUAGAGAUGGCUGACAACAUAGUAUUCCGAUACAAUGGGAACUCACAGUUUAAUGUCAUAAUCUUUGAUGAACUUGGUUGUGAGAAGGCAUCAUCAGCCCAUACAAGAAAGGCAGAGUCACCAUCAUUUUCUGCCUCCUGUGCAAGAAAGGCAGACAAGUGCUACUGA